UGAUAUUCUUUGGGGAGAUUACGUUUCGGCCGUAAUUUGGGGAGGGGGUCUCUCUAUCAG
This 60-nucleotide transfer RNA is filed under the name Echinostoma miyagawai. RNAcentral's name for it is "tRNA-Arg". The record is from RNAcentral. Lineage: Eukaryota; Metazoa; Platyhelminthes; Trematoda; Plagiorchiida; Echinostomatidae.